RNAcentral lists this ribosomal RNA (1193 nucleotides) under uncultured Rozellomycota. Its description in RNAcentral is "SSU rRNA". It matches the Rfam family "Eukaryotic small subunit ribosomal RNA", at positions 455 to 1690 of the family's 1831-position model. Lineage: Eukaryota; Fungi; Rozellomycota. The record is from RNAcentral.
CACAGGGAGGUAGUGACAGUACAUAGUGAUGCAGAGCGGUAACCGUUUUGCAAUCGGAAUGAGAACAAAGUAAAUCAGUUAACGAGUAACAAUUGGAGGGCAAGUCUGGUGCCAGCAGCCGCGGUAAUUCCAGCUCCAAUAGCGUAUAUUAAAGUUGUUGCAGUUAAAAAGCUCGUAGUUGAACGUUUGGCGUGGGCUGGGGGGUGGAUCGAAUGGUCUGACUGCCUGGUUCUGCCUUUUUGGGGGAGGUGGGUAGGUGCAACACCAACCCAGGACGCCCCGGGUUACUGUGAAGAAAUUAGAGUGUUUAAAGCAGGCUUAGGCUUGAAUACGUCAGCAUGGAAUAACAGGAUAGGACUAGUGUUCUACUUGUUGGUUGGAGAGGAUUGGUAAUGAUUAAUAGGGCCAGUUGGGGCAUUGGUAUUCCGUAGUCAGAGGUGAAAUUCUUGGAUUUACGAAAGACCAACUAGAGCGAAAGCAUUUGCCAAGGAUGUUUUCAUUAAUCAAGAACGAAAGUUAGGGGAUCGAAGACGAUCAGAUACCGUCGUAGUCUUGACUAUAAACGAUGCCGACUGGGGGCGGGGGGCUGUUGAAUUUUGACACGCCCCGAACCCAGAGAGAAAUCAAAGUGUUUGGGUUCUGGGGGGAGUACGGUCGCAAGACAGAAACUUAAAGGAAUUGACGGAAGGGCACCACCAGGAGUGGAGCCUGCGGCUUAAUUUGACUCAACACGGGGAAACUCACCAGGUCCGGACAUGGUAAGGAUUGACAGAUUGAGAGCACUUUCAAGAUUCUGUGGGUGGUGGUGCAUGGCCGUUCUUAGUUGGUGGAGUGAUUUGUCUGGUUAAUUCCGAUAACGAACGAGACCUUUGUUUGGGCUUGGUGUUGGGAGGGUUAGUUUACCCGCCUCCACCUCCCACCAAGACACUCUGCGUUUAGCAGAGGGAAGCUGGAGGCAAUAACAGGUCUGUGAUGCCCUUAGAUGUUCUGGGCUGCACGCGCGCUACACUGACAAAGGCAACGAGUAGUGACCUCUGCCGAGAGGCAGGGGAAAUCAGGAAACUUUGUCGUGCUGGGGAUAGAUCAUUGCAAUUAUUGGUCUUGAACGAGGAAUUCCUAGUAAGCGCAAGUCAACAGCUUGCGUUGAUUACGUCCCUGCCCUUUGUACACACCGCCCGUCGCUACUACCGAUU